This 94-nucleotide transfer RNA is filed under the name Pseudoclavibacter endophyticus. RNAcentral describes it as "tRNA-Asp". Lineage: Bacteria; Bacillati; Actinomycetota; Actinomycetes; Micrococcales; Microbacteriaceae. The record is from RNAcentral.
GCAGCAGCGCCGCGCGGCGCGGGCGGUCGCGUCAUCGCCCCGGACGACCGGGCAGGGCAGCCUGCUCGCGCGGUUCGACGCAGCGCUGUCGUUC